GCUUCCAGGCCUGUGUGAGAACCUAAGCUUUGGAACCUGUCAACUUCCAGGGCUGCAGAUUCGUUGGGCCCUCACAUGUGGCCUGUGGAUAGGAGGCAUCACUCGAGGAAGAGGAGGGCACCUAGAGGGGGAAGGCCACCCAACUACGGGCUUCUUGAGGACAGGUGCUCCAAAUGGCCGCUUCCUGAGGGCAGCGGGUCCUCUUGUGGCCUUAGGCAGGGCCCUGAAACCGGCCUCACGUGUUUGCAACUCGAACUCCUGUGCUUCCACCAAGCGCUCCCGGGUUUGCGGGGGUGGUGUCCGCGCCCCGGCCCCAGCCCGCACCCGGAAGUGGCUCCAAGGCCGCAGGUGUGAGGGGCGUGCCCAGGGCUCGGCCCGCGCCGCCCCAUGUGACCCGGUCCGACAUGGUGUCGCCUCCUCCCGGGGCGGCGGCGGUGGCGGCUCGGGCUGGGCUCGGCGUCGGGCCGGCCCCGCCGCCGCUCAUGGGCAGCCAGGGCCGCUCGGGGCCCCCCGGGAACGGCGGGCCCGGCGAGGGCGAGGGCGGAGAGGCGAGGAAGCUGCAGGAAGGGAGGGUGGCGAGGGGGAAGCGAAGGAAAGGGAAGGGGAAGGGAAAAGCGAGAGCGGGGCAAGGCGGAAGAGGAAGCGGGGCGGAAGGGAAGCCCGGGCCACAGACGGCGAAGGAGACAGCGGGGCCGGAGGCUGAGGCGGGAGCGAGGGCAUGCCCAAGGGAGGAAGCAGAGGGAGGCGGAAGCGUGGAGGAAGGGGCGAGAGGCAUCAUCAAGGGAGAUGAGGGGAGUGCAGGGGCCGGGAAGGAGGCACAAGGAAGAGAGUAUAGGAAGAAGGAGGCAUGGAGGGUCAGGGCUAGGCGGCGGGAGGGCGCCAGGCCGGGAAGAGCACAGAGACGAGGGGGUCAGGCUUGGGCCGACAUCCCGGGGACAGGGGUGGCCAUGGCGGCGGCGGCCGGGGAGGAGGAGGAGGCGGCGGCUCGGGAGUCGGCCGCCCGCCCAGCCGCGGGGCCUGCGCUCUGGCGCCUGCCAGAGGAGCUGCUGCUGCUCAUCUGCUCCUACCUGGACAUGCGGGCCCUCGGCCGCCUGGCCCAGGUGUGCCGCUGGCUGCGGCGCUUCACCAGCUGCGACCUGCUCUGGCGCCGGAUAGCCCGGGCCUCGCUCAACUCCGGCUUCACGCGGCUCGGCACCGACCUGAUGACCAGUGUCCCAGUGAAGGAACGGGUGAAGGUGUCUCAGAACUGGAGACUGGGGCGCUGCCGAGAGGCGAUUCUGCUGAAGUGGAGAUGCAGUCAGAUGCCCUGGAUGCAGCUAGAGGAUGAUUCUCUGUACAUAUCCCAGGCUAAUUUCGUCCUGGCCUACCAGUUCCGUCCAGAUGGUGCCAGCUUGAACCGUCGGCCUCUGGGAGUCUUUGCUGGGCAUGAUGAGGACGUUUGCCACUUUGUUCUGGCUAACUCGCAUAUUAUCAGUGCAGGAGGAGAUGGGAAGAUUGGCGUUCAUAAGAUUCACAGCACCUUCACUGUCAAGUACUCGGCUCAUGAACAGGAGGUGAACUGUGUGGACUGCAAAGGAGGCAUCAUUGUGAGUGGCUCCAGGGACAGGACGGCCAAGGUGUGGCCUUUGGCCUCAGGCCGGCUGGGGCAGUGCUUACAUACCAUCCAGACUGAAGACCGAGUCUGGUCCAUUGCUAUCAGCCCAUUACUCAGUUUGGCUGAUGUGGCUUAUGAGAGUCUCCUGUUGGCGAAGCCCUGCCUUCUCCUAUUUCUGAGGAGUAGCACCAGUUGGAAAGAUAAGCUCUUUUGUGACAGGGACGGCUUGUUGCGGGCACUUCUCACCCCUGAGAAUCUGGGACCUCAACAGUGGGCAGCUGAUGACACACUUGGGCAGUGACUUUCCCCCAGGGGCUGGGGUGCUGGAUGUCAUGUAUGAGUCCCCUUUCACACUGCUGUCCUGUGGCUAUGACACCUAUGUUCGCUACUGGGACCUCCGCACCAGUGUCCGGAAAUGUGUCAUGGAGUGGGAGGAGCCCCAUGAUAGCACCCUGUACUGCCUGCAGACAGAUGGCAACCACCUGCUGGCCACAGGUUCCUCCUACUACGGUGUUGUACGGCUGUGGGACCGGCGCCAAAGGGCCUGCCUGCACGCCUUCCCGCUGACGUCGACCCCCCUCAGCAGCCCUGUGUACUGCCUGCGUCUCACCACCAAGCAUCUCUAUGCUGCGCUGUCUUACAACCUCCAUGUCCUGGAUUUUCAAAACCCAUGACCGUCAGGGCCAUCCCUGCCUCUGGGCCAGGGAAACCAGCUACUCAGGGACCUCUCUUGCCUGGAGGGUGCAGUGAUAUCUCCUCCCCAGUGCCCCACUGUGCUCCUGGGCCUGUGACCCCAGUGCUCAGGCACCUUGCACUAGAGGCUUCGGACUCCUGGGGCUUUGGGGCUUACCAGAGAUGCAGUCCCUCCCAGGAACCUGUUGGAGAGGCAGGAUCUGCUGCUUUAGAUGAGUGCGGCUGAACCUGGGCCUUGCGUCCCUGUUUGGCCAGAGCAAGGAUCUGGCCUGGAGAGGCCCAUCCUAUACUACCCUUAUUAGAGCCAUGAUAGCCUACAGAGUGAGGUGAGGUGCUCCCACCUUCCCAGAUGGUUCCUUUCUGCCCCUUCCUGGAAGGAAAGGUAAGGCUGCCAACAGCCCACUGGCACCAGCCAGACCUCACCCUUGACCAACCUCUUGGGGCCAGGGGUUCAUUCCUGGGGCACUGUUACCUGGUUUUGCUUUGAAACCAAUAAAGAGCAGAGGGAACCCAGCAGUUCUGAGUUCUGAGCCAGCCCUACCUCAGGCUGGCUGUUGAGACAAGCUACAAUUUUCAUUUUUGUAAAAAUAAAGCUUGAUUGUUCACAGA
Molecule: RNA transcript, 2896 nt
Organism: Piliocolobus tephrosceles (Ugandan red Colobus)
Lineage: Eukaryota; Metazoa; Chordata; Mammalia; Primates; Cercopithecidae
Gene: FBXW4
Gene name: F-box and WD repeat domain containing 4
Exons: 10
Source: RefSeq, a predicted model, not a curated record